RNAcentral lists this ribosomal RNA (746 nucleotides) under uncultured archaeon. Its description in RNAcentral is "bacterial SSU rRNA". It matches the Rfam family "Archaeal small subunit ribosomal RNA", at positions 203 to 960 of the family's 1478-position model. The record is from RNAcentral.
UGAAGAAUGGGUCUUGCGGCCCUAUCAGGUAGUAGGGGGGUUUCACGUCCCCCUAAGCCAUACACGGGUACGGGCUUUUGAAAGCAGUNGCCCGAAGAUGGAUUUUUAAGACACGAAUCCAGGUCNUACGGGACGCAGCAGGCGCGAAACCUCCACAAUGUGGGCAANCACGAUGGGGGAACUCCAAGUGUGUNCACUAUGUGUAGUCUGUUCUCAAGCCUAAAAAGCUUGAGAAGUAAGGGCCGGGUAAGACGGGUGCCAGCCGCCGCGGUAAYACCSGCGGCCCGAGUGGUGGCCGCUAUUAUUGGGCUUAAAGGGUCCGUAGCCGGACCAGUUAGUCCAUUGGGAAAUCUUACGGCUUAACCGUAAGGCUGCCAGUGGAUACUGCUGGUCUUGGGACCGGGAGAGGCAAGAGGUACUUCAGGGGUAGGAGUGAAAUCCUGUAAUCCUUGAGGGACCGCCAGUGGCGAAGGCGUCUUGCUAGAACGGGUCCGACGGUGAGGGACGAAAGCUAGGGGCACGAACCGGAUUAGAUACCCGGGUAGUCCUAGCCGUAAACGAUGCGAGCUAGGUGUCACGUGGAUUGCGAAUCCAUGUGGUGCCGUAGGGAAACCGUGAAGCUCGCCGCCUGGGAAGUACGGCCGCAAGGCUGAAACUUAAAGGAAUUGGCGGGGGAGCACAAGGGCGAAUUCCAGCACACUGGCGGCCGUUACUAGUGGAUCCGAGCUCGGUACCGAGGCUGGCGU